UACGAAGGGGGCAAGCGUUGUUCGGCGUCACUGGGCGUAAAGCGCGCGUAGGCGGACCGAUAAGUUGGGGGUGAAAGCCCAGGGCUCAACCCUGGAACUGCCUUCAAUACUGUCGGUCUCGAGUUCGGGAGAGGUGAGUGGAAUUCCUAGUGUAGAGGUGAAAUUCGUAGAUAUUAGGAAGAACACCAGUGGCGAAGGCGGCUCACUGGCCCGAUACUGACGCUGAGGUGCGAAAGCGUGGGGAGCAAACAGG
RNAcentral lists this ribosomal RNA (253 nucleotides) under uncultured bacterium. RNAcentral describes it as "partial 16S ribosomal RNA". It matches the Rfam family "Bacterial small subunit ribosomal RNA", at positions 524 to 776 of the family's 1533-position model. The record is from RNAcentral.